CCUACGGGGGCAGCAGUGGGGAAUAUUGGACAAUGGGCGAAAGCCUGAUCCAGCCAUGCCGCGUGUGUGAAGAAGGCCUUCGGGUUGUAAAGCACUUUCAGUGGGGAAGAAAGCCUUGGGGCUAAUACCCUCGAGGAAGGACAUCACCCACAGAAGAAGCACCGGCUAACUCCGUGCCAGCAGCCGCGGUAAUACGGAGGGUGCGAGCGUUAAUCGGAAUUACUGGGCGUAAAGCGCGCGUAGGCGGUCUGAUAAGCCGGUUGUGAAAGCCCCGGGCUCAACCUGGGAACGGCAUCCGGAACUGUCAGGCUAGAGUGCAGGAGAGGAAGGUAGAAUUCCCGGUGUAGCGGUGAAAUGCGUAGAGAUCGGGAGGAAUACCAGUGGCGAAGGCGGUCUUCUGGACUGACACUGACGCUGAGGUGCGAAAGCGUGGGUAGCAAACAGGAUUAGAUACCCCAGUAGUC
This 464-nucleotide ribosomal RNA is filed under the name Vreelandella stevensii. Its description in RNAcentral is "partial 16S ribosomal RNA". It matches the Rfam family "Bacterial small subunit ribosomal RNA", at positions 338 to 795 of the family's 1533-position model. Lineage: Bacteria; Pseudomonadati; Pseudomonadota; Gammaproteobacteria; Oceanospirillales; Halomonadaceae. The record is from RNAcentral.